UUGCAAAGGUCUUUUUAGCUUUCAAGAUACUUCAUAUUUUAUCAUGUGUUUUUCUAUGCGUCUCUGCAUAUGUCAAAAUUUAUAUACAUGAUCUAGUUCUUGUUCAGUUUUAGCAUCUUGAAUUUAGAUUGCUCUUUAAUUCUGCUCAGUUAAGCUAAAUAUUUUUUGUUAUUGUUUGGAAUAAAGGCUUUAAUUGUUUUUCUUCAUUAUAAUGCAGAUUUCUAAUGAAGAGGUUAAGCAUGUUAAGCAUGGAUGAAGUGUAAAACUGCACCAGAAAUUGUAAUUUCAAUCAUUUAUCUCAAUUUUUACCCUUAAGUUGUUUUUGUAUGAAUGUAUAUUACACUUUAAUUGUGUUAGUAAUUUGAAUUCACUUUUCUAAAUACAUAUUUUUAUGUAUUUAUUAUAUAUUGUAUGUGUUAUUAAUUCGAAAGUUAUGUUUCUCUUAUCAAAUAUAUAAAUUUUUAGUUAUUGGAUGCAAAAA
Molecule: long non-coding RNA, 481 nt
Filed under: Vigna radiata
Lineage: Eukaryota; Viridiplantae; Streptophyta; Magnoliopsida; Fabales; Fabaceae
Description: long non-coding RNA (VRAD_LNC010351)
Source: RNAcentral